RNAcentral lists this ribosomal RNA (460 nucleotides) under Veillonella dispar. Its description in RNAcentral is "bacterial SSU rRNA". It matches the Rfam family "Bacterial small subunit ribosomal RNA", at positions 28 to 465 of the family's 1533-position model. The record is from RNAcentral. Lineage: Bacteria; Bacillati; Bacillota; Negativicutes; Veillonellales; Veillonellaceae.
GACGAACGCUGGCGGCGUGCUUAACACAUGCAAGUCGAACGAAGAGCGACGGAAGCUUGCUUCUAUCAAUCUUAGUGGCGAACGGGUGAGUAACGCGUAAUCAACCUGCCCUUCAGAGGGGGACAACAGUUGGAAACGACUGCUAAUACCGCAUACGAUCUGACCUCGGCAUCGAGGAUAGAUGAAAGGUGGCCUCUAUUUAUAAGCUAUCACUGAAGGAGGGGAUUGCGUCUGAUUAGCUAGUUGGAGGGGUAACGGCCCACCAAGGCGAUGAUCAGUAGCCGGUCUGAGAGGAUGAACGGCCACAUUGGGACUGAGACACGGCCCAGACUCCUACGGGAGGCAGCAGUGGGGAAUCUUCCGCAAUGGACGAAAGUCUGACGGAGCAACGCCGCGUGAGUGAUGACGGCCUUCGGGUUGUAAAGCUCUGUUAAUCGGGACGAAAGGCCUUCUUGCGAAU